CCUGGCGACUCCAGCGCGCGGGAACCACCCGAUCCCUUCCCGAACUCGUCCGUGAAACCGCGCCGCGCCUAUGAUCGUGUGAGAUCACUCAUGCUAAAGUCGGGCAUCGCCAGGC
This 115-nucleotide ribosomal RNA is filed under the name Candidatus Competibacteraceae bacterium. The record is from RNAcentral. Lineage: Bacteria; Pseudomonadati; Pseudomonadota; Gammaproteobacteria; Candidatus Competibacteraceae.